Molecule: non-coding RNA, 73 nt
Organism: Trichonephila inaurata madagascariensis
Lineage: Eukaryota; Metazoa; Arthropoda; Arachnida; Araneae; Nephilidae
Source: the annotation of a GenBank genome assembly
GUCUCUGUAGCGCAAUGGAUAGCGCAUUGGACUUCUCAUCCAAAGAGCAUAGGUUCGAAUUCUAUCAAGGAUG